CACGACCAUAUCACAAUGAAACACUGGUUCUCGUAUGAUCACCGUAGUUAAGUAACGUGGAGCCUGGUCAGUAACUGAGUAAGUGACCGCUAGGGAAUUCCGGAUG
Molecule: non-coding RNA, 106 nt
Organism: Acanthosepion pharaonis
Lineage: Eukaryota; Metazoa; Mollusca; Cephalopoda; Sepiida; Sepiidae
Source: the annotation of a GenBank genome assembly